Long non-coding RNA from Falco peregrinus (peregrine falcon), 547 nucleotides. RefSeq lists it as uncharacterized. NCBI's taxonomy places the organism in Eukaryota, Metazoa, Chordata, Aves, Falconiformes, Falconidae. The transcript has 3 exons. The record is from RefSeq and is a predicted model, not a curated record.
UGACACUGACAGCUGUAGGUGGAGCAGAUACGCCUGCUACUAAAAUACCAAACUAUCAGUUACUCUGAAUGAGCCUUGCAUGCAGAAGGAUUUUGUCUUGACAACAGCCUUGACGAUUGUGGGUGCCUUGAUUCUUCUGGAUGGAGCUACCCUGUCAUGUGUUGUGUGUGUGGCAUGGUGAACUGGGCAUUGACUGGCAGUCACACGUCGGCAUGGAGCUUAAACUACUGGCCUUGAGAGAGCAGAUUCCUUCAGAUCAGUGGUGGUCUUAAGGCCGUGAUCAGAUCUUUGCCAAAUGUAAUUUUUGGGUCGACAUGGCACAGCAUCUACAGCAAGAAGGAAACCUAUGGAAAUUGUUGAAAGCUACACUUGAAGCUGGAUUAGACCAAGCUAUUGAAGUGAUACAGGAGUCCAAUUCUGUCAUUACCCCGGGUGAGAGUCCAGAUAUUUGUUGUCCAGUUGCUCAAUAGUAGGCUUUUCAAGCUACUUCAGGUCUUGCAUAACAUUCUGCAUAUUUCACUGUCACUUUAAUCAUCUCAAACUUUUG